AGUUCAUGCGAGAUCUGAUUGUUUAAAAGAGUGCAGCACUUCCUCCACCUUGCUCCCUCUCUUGCCACUGAUGUGCCUGCUUCCCCUUCACCUUCUGCCUGGAUUGUAAGCUCCCUGAGAACCUCACCAGAAGCAGAUGCCAGCACCACGCUUCCUAUACAGCCUGCCAAAAUGAGCUCCUGAAUUUCACAGACAAAUCCAGACCCCUGUGUGGAAAGCCUGCGGUGGUGUUCUCCGUCUUCCCACAGGACUCCCUGCAGCCAGGAAUUCUAGGGGAGCACCUGACGCGAGGUAUACGCCCAGAUGGCCUGAAGUAACUGAAGAAUCACAAAAGAAGUGAAAAUGUCCUGCCCCGCCUUAACUGAUGACAUUCCACCACAAAGGAAGUGUCAAUGGCUGGUCCUUGCCUUAACUGAUGACAUUCCACCGCAAAAGAAGUGAAAAUGGCCGGUCCUUGCCUUAACUGAUGACAUUACACCACAAAAGAAGUGAAAAUGGCCGGUCCUUGCCUUAAGUGAUGGCAUUACCUUGUGAAAGUCCUUUUCCUGGCUCAUUCUGGCUCAAAAUCACCCCCACUGAGCACCUUGUGACCCCCACUCCUGCCCGCCAGGGAACAAUCCCCCUUUGACUGUAAUUUUCCUUUACCUACCCAAAUCUUAUAAAAUGGCCCCACCCCUAUCUCCCUUUGCUGACUCUCUUUUUGGACUCAGCCUGCCUGCAUCCAGGUGAUUAAAAGCUUUUAUUGCUCAC
This 750-nucleotide long non-coding RNA is filed under the name Homo sapiens (human). Its description in RNAcentral is "non-protein coding lnc-BECN2-2:3". Lineage: Eukaryota; Metazoa; Chordata; Mammalia; Primates; Hominidae. The record is from RNAcentral.